This 587-nucleotide ribosomal RNA is filed under the name Fusarium sp. 1 TMS-2011. Its description in RNAcentral is "eukaryotic LSU rRNA". The stretch from base 219 to 372 matches the Rfam family "5.8S ribosomal RNA". RNAcentral also lists the same sequence under 1 other name. The record is from RNAcentral. Lineage: Eukaryota; Fungi; Ascomycota; Sordariomycetes; Hypocreales; Nectriaceae.
UCUUGGUCAUUUAGAGGAAGUAAAAGUCGUAACAAGGUCUCCGUUGGUGAACCAGCGGAGGGAUCAUUACCGAGUUUACAACUCCCAAACCCCUGUGAACAUACCUAUACGUUGCCUCGGCGGAUCAGCCCGCGCCCCGUAAAACGGGACGGCCCGCCCGAGGACCCCUAAACUCUGUUUUUAGUGGAACUUCUGAGUAAAACAAACAAAUAAAUCAAAACUUUCAACAACGGAUCUCUUGGUUCUGGCAUCGAUGAAGAACGCAGCAAAAUGCGAUAAGUAAUGUGAAUUGCAGAAUUCAGUGAAUCAUCGAAUCUUUGAACGCACAUUGCGCCCGCCAGUAUUCUGGCGGGCAUGCCUGUUCGAGCGUCAUUUCAACCCUCAAGCUCAGCUUGGUGUUGGGACUCGCGGUAACCCGCGUUCCCCAAAUCGAUUGGCGGUCACGUCGAGCUUCCAUAGCGUAGUAAUCAUACACCUCGUUACUGGUAAUCGUCGCGGCCACGCCGUAAAACCCCAACUUCUGAAUGUUGACCUCGGAUCAGGUAGGAAUACCCGCUGAACUUAAGCAUAUCAAUAAGCCGGAGGAA